GAUGAACGCUAGCGGCAGGCUUAACACAUGCAAGUCGAGGGGCAGCGCGAUGUAGCAAUACAUUGGCGGCGACCGGCGCACGGGUGCGUAACACGUAUGGAACUUACCCUUUACUGGGAGAUAGCCCGGAGAAAUCCGGAUUAAUAUCCCAUAAUAAACGAGGUGGCAUCACUUUGUUUUGAAAGCUCCGGCGGUAAAGGAUGGCCAUGCGCACGAUUAGCUAGUAGGUGAGGUAACGGCUCACCUAGGCUACGAUCGUUAGGGGGCCUGAGAGGGUUAUCCCCCACACUGGUACUGAGACACGGACCAGACUCCUACGGGAGGCAGCAGUGAGGAAUAUUGCGCAAUGGAGGCAACUCUGACGCAGCCAUGCCGCGUGCAGGAAGAAGGCGCUACGCGUUGUAAACUGCUUUUAAACCGGGAGAAACCCCAGGACGUGUCCUGGGUUNACGGUACCGGAGGAAUAAGCACCGGCUAACUUCGUGCCAGCAGCCGCGGUG
RNAcentral lists this ribosomal RNA (500 nucleotides) under uncultured bacterium. RNAcentral describes it as "bacterial SSU rRNA". It matches the Rfam family "Bacterial small subunit ribosomal RNA", at positions 28 to 522 of the family's 1533-position model. The record is from RNAcentral.